Molecule: long non-coding RNA, 1549 nt
Filed under: Physcomitrium patens
Lineage: Eukaryota; Viridiplantae; Streptophyta; Bryopsida; Funariales; Funariaceae
Description: long non-coding RNA (PPAT_LNC005334)
Source: RNAcentral
UUUAGGAUUUAGGAUUUGAUUUAAAGUUUAGAAUUUGGUUAGGAUUUGAUUUAGGAUUUAGGGUUUGGUUAAGAUUUUAUUUAGAUUUAGGACUUGGUUUAGGAUUUAGGGUUUGGUUUAGGGUUUAGGAUUUAGUUAGGAUUUGAUUUAGGAUUUUGGUUUAAGAUUUAAGAUUUGAUUAGGAUUUGGUUUAGAAUUUAGAAUUUGGUUAGGAUUUGAUUUAGGGUUAGGAUUUAAUUAGGGUUUGAUUUAAGGUUAGAGUUUGGUUAUGAUUUGAUUUAGGAUUAGGAUUUGGUUAGGAUUUGGUUUAGGAUUUAGGGUUUGGUUAAGGUUUGAUUUAGAGUUGAAGUUUUGGUCAGGAUUUGAUUUAGGAUUUAGGAUUUUAUUUGAAUUUAUUUAGAAUUUAAGAUUUAGUUAGUUUUUGGCCUAAAGUUUGAAUGAAGUCCAAUAGGAUUUCAACUAGGAUUAAAUUAAGAUUGAAUUGAGAUGUAUUUGAGAUAUAUUUGUAAUCAUUCUAAUAUUUCUUUAAGAUUUUUUAUUCUUUCUUUGUAAUUCCUUUGAGGUUUCUUUGAAUUUGAUUAAAGCUUGUUUAGCAUUAUUAGUAUUCUAUUAUAAUUAGGAUUUUGUUGUAGCAAUUUCUAUUCUACCUUCCACAGCCAAGUACCUACAACAUUCUUAAAUAAGACUUCACGUAUUAUAAUAGCAUACAUAUAAAAAACUUACUUUUCAUACUAAAAUAUAUUGUUGUAUUAUAUAAAGUCUUGCUCAAGAAUGCAUCAAGUACUUAGUUGUGGAAGGUAGAAUGGAAAUUGCUACAACAAAAUCCUAACUCUAAUAGAAUACUAAAUAAAUUCUAAUUAAAAAUUAAAAAUAUUAAACAAGCUUUAAUUAAAUUCAAAAGAAACUUUAAUGAAAUUAUAAUAGAAAUAAUAAGAAAACUUAAAGGAUUUGAAAGAAAAUCCACAACAAAUCUUAAAAGAAUCCUUAGGAAAUCUUAAAAAAUAAUAAAAUAAUGACAAAUAUAUCUUAAGUAAAUCUCAACUAAGUUCUAAUUUAAUCAUCAUUGAAAUCCUAAUGAACUUCAAUCAAAUCCUUAGAAAAACCUUAAAUCUUAAAUUAAAUUCUAGACAAAUCCUAAAUCCUAAACCAAAUCCAUGACCAACUCUAAAUCCUAAACCAAAUUCUAAACCAAGUCUAAAUCUUAGAACAAAUUCUAGAUAAAUCCUAAAUCUUAGAUCAAAUCUUAGAAAAAUCCUAAAUCCUUAACUAAAUCCUAGACAAAUUCUAAAUCCUUAAUCAAACCUUAGACAAACUCUAAAUUCUAAAUUAAAUCCUAGACAAAUCCUAAAGUUUAAAUCAAACCCUAAACAAAUCCUAUAUCUUAAAUCAAAUCCUAGACAAACCUUAAAUCUUAAAUCAAAUCUUAAACAAAUCCUAAAUCUAAAAUCCUAAACCAAAUCUUAGACAAAUCUAAAAUCCUAAACCAAAUCUUAGACAAAUCCGAAAUCCUAAACCAAAUCUUAGACAAAUCCUAAAUCCUAAACCAAAU